RNAcentral lists this ribosomal RNA (640 nucleotides) under fungal endophyte. RNAcentral describes it as "eukaryotic LSU rRNA". The stretch from base 275 to 428 matches the Rfam family "5.8S ribosomal RNA". The record is from RNAcentral. Lineage: Eukaryota; Fungi.
UCGUAACAAGGUUUCCGUAGGUGAACCUGCGGAAGGAUCAUUACUGAAAUGUAAUAACUUCUAUUGAAAGGUUCCAGAGUAGGCGCUACAACGCCGAAAUGACCUUCUCACCCUUGUGUACUCACUAUGUUGCUUUGGCGGGUCGACCUGGUUCCGACCCAGGCGGCCGGCGCCCCCAGCCUUAACUGGCCAGGACGCCCGGCUAAGUGCCCGCCAGUAUACAAAACUCAAGAAUUCAUUUUGUGAAGUCCUGAUAUAUCAUUUAAUUGAUUAAAACUUUCAACAACGGAUCUCUUGGUUCUGGCAUCGAUGAAGAACGCAGCGAAAUGCGAUAAGUAAUGUGAAUUGCAGAAUUCAGUGAAUCAUCGAAUCUUUGAACGCACAUUGCGCCCUCUGGUAUUCCGGAGGGCAUGCCUGUUCGAGCGUCAUUUCAACCCUCAAGCUCUGCUUGGUAUUGGGCAACGUCCGCUGCCGGACGUGCCUUGAAGACCUCGGCGACGGCGUCCUAGCCUCGAGCGUAGUAGUAAAAUAUCUCGCUUUGGAGUGCUGGGCGACGGCCGCCGGACAAUCGACCUUCGGUCUAUUUUUCCAAGGUUGACCUCGGAUCAGGUAGGGAUACCCGCUGAACUUAAGCAUAUCA